AUUGAACGCUGGCGGCAUGCUUUACACAUGCAAGUCGAACGGCAGCACAGAGAGCUUGCUCUUGGUGGCGAGUGGCGAACGGGUGAGUAAUAUAUUGGAACGUACCGAGUAAUGGGGGAUAACUGUCCGAAAGGAUGGCUAAUACCGCAUACGCUCUGAGGAGGAAAGCUGGGGACCUUCGGGCCUGGCGUUAUUCGAGCGGCCAAUAUCUGAUUAGCUAGUUGGUGGGGUAAGAGCCUACCAAGGCGACGAUCAGUAGCGGGUCUGAGAGGAUGAUCCGCCACACUGGGACUGAGACACGGCCCAGACUCCUACGGGAGGCAGCAGUGGGGAAUUUUGGACAAUGGGCGCAAGCCUGAUCCAGCCAUGCCGCGUGUAUGAAGAAGGCCUUAGGGUUGUAAAGUACUUUUGUCAGGGAAGAAAAGCAUUAGAUUAAUAGUUUAGUGCGCUGACGGUGCCUGAAGAAUAAGCACCGGCUAACUACGUG
RNAcentral lists this ribosomal RNA (487 nucleotides) under uncultured bacterium. RNAcentral describes it as "bacterial SSU rRNA". It matches the Rfam family "Bacterial small subunit ribosomal RNA", at positions 30 to 507 of the family's 1533-position model. The record is from RNAcentral.